RNAcentral lists this ribosomal RNA (492 nucleotides) under uncultured bacterium. Its description in RNAcentral is "partial 16S ribosomal RNA". It matches the Rfam family "Bacterial small subunit ribosomal RNA", at positions 29 to 507 of the family's 1533-position model. The record is from RNAcentral.
AGUGAACGCUGGCGGUAGGCCUAACACAUGCAAGUCGAACGGCAGCACAGUAAGAGCUUGCUCUUACGGGUGGCGAGUGGCGGACGGGUGAGGAAUACAUCGGAAUCUACUUUUUCGUGGGGGAUAACGUAGGGAAACUUACGCUAAUACCGAAUACGACCUACGGGUGGAAGCAGGGGAUCUUCGGACCUUGCGCGAUUGAAUGAGCCGAUGUCGGAUUAGCUAGGUGGCGGGGUAAAGGCCCACCAAGGCGACGAUCCGUAGCUGGGCUGAGAGGAUGAUCAGCCACACUUGAACUGAGACACGGUCCAGACUCCUAAGGGAGGCAGCAGUUGGGAAUUUUGGGCAAUGGGCGGAAGCCUGACCCAGCCACGCCGCGUGGGUGAAAGAGGCCUUCGGGUUUUAAAACCCUUUUGUUUGGGAAGAAAAACAGUAUGGUUAAUCCCCCCCUUUUUGACGGUACCCAAAAAAAAAGCCACGGCUAACUUCGUG